CACCCUCCUCUCCUGCGAGGCAGUUAGGUAUGGCAAGUAUGACUGGAUCUGUUUUAUACUGGAGGAAACACACUGGAAGAAGGAGAAGGUAUUGUAACUUGUCCCGGGGCACACAUUUAGUAGCGCGGUAGCUGGCUUUCAGGCUUCAUACUUCGUUGGCUUAGUACUACACCACGCUUGAGUGUGAAAGGAGCAAUGUCAGGGCCAGACGAUAGAGUCUAGAAAAUUCUUCUCUCCAAAGGAGCAAGGGAGCCCUCCCUGAAGCCUCUGAUGGCUGAGCACCACGGUAGGUCAGAACCUGCGGGAUUGGGACCACCGUGAUGAUGGAUACCUCUGAGCGGCAGAGCGGAGGCGGGAGAAGCCCUGCAGCGGCUGAGGGCUCUUGGGGAGGCAACACUUGGCCUGAUAGAAAAUUCAGCAUAUAGAGACCAUUGUCAAACGGACCGCUAGUGCCUGCUUGGGAGCCUGGAAAGUGAAACAGUUCUUUGGCUGGCCCAAUACCUGCAAACCUCGGAGAUAUGCAGGUUUUGAUCAAGACCACCUCAAUAAAGCAAAUAUUGGAAUAAAGUAGUCUACAUUUCAAGAAGAGAAACUGGACCGGCCAUGAGAAAAUGCUGGCUCUAGGAUUCAGACUACAGCACUAGCUAUUCUCCAUGCCUGGCAAGUCUUACCUGCCCCUGUGUGAGAAAUGGAGGUACAAGAAGUCAAGACGAUCUGCUUGCCCCCUCACUGAAUAAUAUCUGCACAGAUCACUCAGAAGAUCUGGAUGGCCCCUGGAAGGCCUUUUUCAACAUGUGGAUUAUUGCAGUCUUAUGUUAGCAAUUAUUUUUGGUAAAAUAAAGAUCCAAAAGGGUGACUUUUAUUUUGGUAAAACAAAGAGUUGAAACUUCUGAGCUUAAAAUGUUAUACAAGAUCAUUUUAAUAAACUAAAUGUCUAUUAAUAGGGUAAUGUUAAAUAACUUAUAUGAAGCCCAUACUAAGGAAUAUUAUAUGAUAGUGUAACAAGUAUAUAUGUUCUUGGCAUAACAACAUUCUUAAGAGGAAAAAGUAAGUGGCAGGAAAUGUAUAUCUUAUGUUGCAUUUAUGUACAAAGGUGUAUGUAGAUUGAUAUGUAGGGGGCCUCUGAGGUGCUGAUAAUGUUCUACUUCUUGACUUGGGUAGUGGUUAUAUUGCAUUUGUGACAAUUCAUUAAGCUGUAAAAUUAUGACAUGCAUACUUCUGUAUAUUUUAAAAAAAGUUUAAAACGAUAUCUAAAGACAUGUAUGUAUAGAUAUGUGUGUGUAUAUAAUUUCUUUGAAAAAUCUCUAGAAAUAAUCAAUUAGUAACCAUGGUUGCCUCUGGUGAGAGCUGUAGCAUUUGGAAAAUAGUGAAGGGGACUCAAAUAUUCAAUUGUUUGAAUGUUUUACAGUGAGUAUAUAUAAUUUGUAGGGACAGAAAAUUCCCCCAAAGAACUAUUAAAACAUUAGCUACACACCUACUCAUUUUGCCUUUAAAAUCAAUUUUCUCUUUGCACAUUCAGCUGUUUCUUGUGUUCUCCUUGAAGUUCCAGAUGGAGGGAGAGCUACAUCCUCACCUGUGUUUUGCAAACACAUGAACAAAGGAGACACAUCUGAAACAUAAAAUCUGUGUGACAGCCUCCUUCAAAGGAGUCCUAUUUGUCUUUGAAAACAAAGUAAAUUACCUGAGUGAAUACAAAUUCCACCUUGUGAAGUCUUUGUUGAGAGGUAUCCACAGGUGCUUUGCAAUAACCUGUCAAAUAAUCCUACCUGACACACGGAGAGAUGAACAUAAGGUCAAACUAAUGCUGUGAGACUGCGGACUGAUGUGUCACCGUCAUUUUUAUUGUACUGUAUAUCUCAAUUCUGUCAUAAGGAAUAUAUUUUAAAGGAAAUGAAAACUCACGUGAUGAAUGUGUAAAAUCUCUGCCUCAUCAAGAUGAUAAAAGAUUGUGUGGAAUUCCUCAACCUGGUGCAUUUUGCCAUAGAACAUUUUUAGACAUACCUACUAGACAUUCUCAGAAUGAAGAUCUUGCUAUUCAUCUAAUCACAGAUUUAAUUUUUCCAUGGACCGUGAGUAUUCUCUGGGUGCCUUCAGGGUACAGAAAACGGUACUUUAACCCAAGCAUGCCCUUAGCAAGGAUGGAAGAGUGUUAUGAGAACUGGGAAUGUUUCACUUGGGGAAGAGGAGGCUUAAUGCACAUUGAAAGAAGGGUGGCAUUCGGUUGGCCAGGGGAAUACAAGGUUCAUAAGAGCCCUGUCUCGUUUACCUGUAUCCACAGUGCCUAGCAGAUGGUCUCACAAGAGGAGGUGCUCAGCAAGAACUGCUGGGCAGCUGGCGGGAUGCAGGGAUGGAGGGAGGAUGGGUGGAAGCAUUUGGGGUCAUGCGGCCAACCGCAUGAAGCCAGCACUCCUGGGAGAAGUGACAGAAGUUGGCUGCUGAAGGCCAAAACGGUGGCACAGUGUCAUGUUGUUCUGAGAGCACGGGCUCAGAGACCAGGCCCCAUGGGGCUGCUUCCCGUCUCUGUCACUUUCUAGCCUGGGAUGGACAAGAAAAGUCACCUCUCUGUCCCAGGUUUCCUCAUCAGUAAAUGAGGGAUAUUAAAAAUGUAAGAAUUAUGUUUAGGGCUUCCCUAGUG
Molecule: long non-coding RNA, 2635 nt
Organism: Aethalodelphis obliquidens (Pacific white-sided dolphin)
Lineage: Eukaryota; Metazoa; Chordata; Mammalia; Artiodactyla; Delphinidae
Exons: 6
Source: RefSeq, a predicted model, not a curated record